Molecule: ribosomal RNA, 328 nt
Filed under: uncultured eukaryote
Lineage: Eukaryota
Description: partial 18S ribosomal RNA
Rfam family: Eukaryotic small subunit ribosomal RNA
Source: RNAcentral
CCCUUAGAUGUUCUGGGCUGCACGCGCGCUACACUGAUGCGUUCAACGAGUGUACAACCUUAACCGAUAGGUUUGGGUAAUCUUUUGAACACGCAUCGUGAUGGGGAUUGAUUAUUGCAAUUAUUAAUCAUCAACGAGGAAUUCCUAGUAGUGGUGAAUCAUCAGUUCAUCGCGAUUACGUCCCUGCCCUUUGUACACACCGCCCGUCGCUCCAACCGAUUGAGUAAUCCGGUGAAUAGUUCGGACCGGCCUUUGAUUUGGUUCGCCAUCUGUUGGCUGCGGGAAGUUCGUUAAACCUUAUCAUUUAGAGGAAGGAGAANUCGUANCA